AUUGACGGGGGCCCGCACAAGCGGCGGAGCAUGUUGCUUAAUUCGAGGCAACGCGAAGAACCUUACCUGGGUUUGACAUUUAGGGAAAAGCCACAGAGAUGUGGUGUCCUUCGGGGCCCUAAACAGGUGGUGCAUGGCUGUCGUCAGCUCGUGUCGUGAGAUGUUGGGUUAAGUCCCGCAACGAGCGCAACCCUUGUCCUAUGUUGCCAGCACGUAAUGGUGGGGACUCGUAGGAGACUGCCGGGGUCAACUCGGAGGAAGGUGGGGACGACGUCAAGUCAUCAUGCCCCUUAUGUCCAGGGCUGCAAACAUGCUACAAUGGCCGGUACAGAGGGCUGCGAGACCGCGAGGUUGAGCGAAUCCCACAAAGCCGGUCUCAGUUCGGAUUGGAGUCUGCAACUCGACUCCAUGAAGCUGGAGUCGCUAGUAAUCCCGGAUCAGCAACGCCGGGGUGAAUACGUUCCCGGGCCUUGUACACACCGCCCGUCACACCACGAAAGUCGGAAACACC
This 511-nucleotide ribosomal RNA is filed under the name uncultured Actinomycetes bacterium. RNAcentral's name for it is "bacterial SSU rRNA". It matches the Rfam family "Bacterial small subunit ribosomal RNA", at positions 909 to 1421 of the family's 1533-position model. Lineage: Bacteria; Bacillati; Actinomycetota; Actinomycetes. The record is from RNAcentral.